Molecule: RNA transcript, 1349 nt
Organism: Cucumis sativus (cucumber)
Lineage: Eukaryota; Viridiplantae; Streptophyta; Magnoliopsida; Cucurbitales; Cucurbitaceae
Gene name: ELMO domain-containing protein A
Exons: 9
Source: RefSeq, a predicted model, not a curated record
GGUAUUAUUUAAAUUCCUAUAUUGGUUUCUCAUAAUCUCAUUUCAGUUGCUGUUCGUCGGAGAAUCGUUGAGAUUAUCGGGCGUUCGGCGGUGAGAUGAGUUUGGUCAACACUCACAGAAGCUCUGCGCCGAUUCGUUCCCUCUCUCCUUCUUCAUCCUCCAUUUCCCGUUGCUCCCACACUUUCACUUCCUCUUCUGAUUAUGUUACGUGUGGAACACCAACUUGGAUUGGGAAGGGAAUCACUUGCAUCUGCUUCAAGCGGAAGGGAAGUUUGGAACGAAUUUGUAUCAACCUGACUCCUGUACAGGAAGAUAGGUUAAGAAGAUUAAAGCACCGCAUGAAGGUCUACUUUGAUGGUUCAAGAAUCAACCACCAGGAGGCUUUAAGAGCUCUGUGGUAUGCAGCUUAUCCUGGUCAAGAGCUUCAAGCGUUGGUAUCAGAUCAAUGGAAGGAAAUGGGAUGGCAGGGAAGAGACCCGUCAACUGAUUUUAGAGGAGCUGGAUUUAUCUCUUUGGAGAAUUUGUUGUUCUUUGCAAAGACGUUCUCAACGUCUUUCCAACUUCUGUUGAGAAAACAAGGAGGAAAGCCAGCUGCUUGGGAAUAUCCCUUUGCUGUAGCUGGUGUAAAUAUCACAUUUAUGAUCAUGCAAAUGCUUGAUCUAGAUGCUUCAAAACCAAGGACUUUUAUCAGAUCGGUUUUCCUGCAGAUGUUGUCAGAGAAUGAAUGGGCAUUUGACUUGCUUUACUGCGUCGCGUUCGUUGUUAUGGACAAACAAUGGCUGGAGAGAAAUGCUACCUACAUGGAGUUCAAUGUAAGAAUAAAUUAAGGGACUCAACUCAAGCUUAUUCACUUUGUAGUAGUGGAAAAAAAAAAUUCUCUGAGAAUUCUAACUCGUAUUUACAUUUCGACGAUGUUCAGGAUGUGUUGAAGUCCACCAGAGCUCAGUUGGAAAAAGAACUUUUAAUGGAGGAUGUAUUACGCAUUGAAGACAUGCCUUCUUACAACCUUCUUCUAACAUUAGAUUACAGGUAGUAUAAUCUGUCAAACCACUCUCAAUGAAAGGGUUAAUUAAAGUUAACUAUGUGUGUGUUUGUAUGUACGUAGUGCGCUUUAUAUAGUUAUAUAUCUACAGGUGAAGAUUAUUAUUUUGAUCUCUAUACUUUGAAGUUUGUUCAAUUUUAGUUUUUCUAUUAGAAUUUUACUUUAAAUUGUUUCCCUAUGUAUUGUAAUGGUUAUGACAUGAGGGAACACGAUCAAAUCUACUAUCAACAAAUUGCUUAGCGAUUGUGUUUUAAGAUCAUGUGGGACCCACUUUUUAAAAAUAUACUUUUGAGCAAUUUUUUCAAAA